RNAcentral lists this ribosomal RNA (450 nucleotides) under uncultured bacterium. RNAcentral describes it as "SSU rRNA". It matches the Rfam family "Bacterial small subunit ribosomal RNA", at positions 26 to 518 of the family's 1533-position model. The record is from RNAcentral.
AGGAUGAACGCUGGCGGUCUGCUUAACACAUGCAAGUCGAACGGAGUAGCAAUACUUAGUGGCGGACGGGUGAGUAACGCGUGAGAAUCUACCUUCAGGACGGAGACAACAGUUGGAAACGACUGCUAACCCCCGAUGUACCGAAAGGGCAAAUAUUUAUAGCCUGAAGAAGAGCUCGCGUCCGAUUAGCUAGUUGGAGAGGUAAAAGCUCACCAAGGCGACGAUCGGUAGCUGGUCUGAGAGGACGAUCAGCCACACUGGGACUGAGACACGGCCCAGACUCCUACGGGAGGCAGCAGUGGGGAAUCUUGGACAAUGGGCGAAAGCCUGAUCCGGCAAUAUGGCGUGAGUGAAGAAGGGCAACGCAGCUUGUAAAGCUCUUUCAUCGAGUGUGCGAUUGUGACAAGACUCGAAUAAGAACGCCCGGCUAACUCCGUGCCAGCACGCCGC